RNAcentral lists this ribosomal RNA (771 nucleotides) under Aureobasidium pullulans. RNAcentral describes it as "eukaryotic LSU rRNA". The stretch from base 173 to 771 matches the Rfam family "Eukaryotic large subunit ribosomal RNA", at positions 1 to 608 of the family's 3401-position model. The record is from RNAcentral. Lineage: Eukaryota; Fungi; Ascomycota; Dothideomycetes; Dothideales; Saccotheciaceae.
GUUCGAGCGUCAUUACACCACUCAAGCUAUGCUUGGUAUUGGGUGCCGUCCUUAGUUGGGCGCGCCUUAAAGACCUCGGCGAGGCCUCACCGGCUUUAGGCGUAGUAGAAUUUAUUCGAACGUCUGUCAAAGGAGAGGACUUCUGCCGACUGAAACCUUUAUUUUUCUAGGUUGACCUCGGAUCAGGUAGGGAUACCCGCUGAACUUAAGCAUAUCAAUAAGCGGAGGAAAAGAAACCAACAGGGAUUGCCCUAGUAACGGCGAGUGAAGCGGCAACAGCUCAAAUUUGAAAGCUGGCCUUCGGGUCCGCAUUGUAAUUUGUAGAGGAUGCUUUGGGUGAAACGCCAGUCUAAGUUCCUUGGAACAGGACGUCAUAGAGGGUGAGAAUCCCGUAUGUGACUGGAAAUGUUAACCUAUGUAAAGCUCCUUCGACGAGUCGAGUUGUUUGGGAAUGCAGCUCUAAAUGGGAGGUAAAUUUCUUCUAAAGCUAAAUAUUGGCGAGAGACCGAUAGCGCACAAGUAGAGUGAUCGAAAGAUGAAAAGCACUUUGGAAAGAGAGUUAAAAAGCACGUGAAAUUGUUGAAAGGGAAGCGCUUGCAAUCAGACUUGUUUAAACUGUUCGGCCGGUCUUCUGACCGGUUUACUCAGUUUGGACAGGCCAGCAUCAGUUUCGGCGGCCGGAUAAAGGCUCUGGGAAUGUGGCCUUCACUUCGGUGAAGGUGUUAUAGCCCAGGGUGUAAUACGGCCAGCCGGGACUGAGGUCCGCGCUCG